CGAGGAGCUUGCUCCUCUGAUCAGUGGCGAACGGGUGAGUAACACGUGAGCAACCUGCCCCAGACUCUGGGAUAACAGUUGGAAACAGCUGCUAAUACCGGAUACGAGACGGAGAGGCAUCUCUACCGUCUGGAAAGUUUUUCGGUCUGGGAUGGACUCGCGGCCUAUCAGCUAGUUGGUGAGGUAAUGGCUCACCAAGGCGACGACGGGUAGCCGGCCUGAGAGGGCGACCGGCCACACUGGGACUGAGACACGGCCCAGACUCCUACGGGAGGCAGCAGUGGGGAAUAUUGCACAAUGGGCGAAAGCCUGAUGCAGCGACGCCGCGUGAGGGAUGACGGCCUUCGGGUUGUAAACCUCUUUCAGCAGGGAAGAAGCGAAAGUGACGGUACCUGCAGCAGAAGCACCGGCUAACUACGUGCCAGCAGCCGCGGUAAUACGUAGGGUGCGAGCGUUGUCCCGGAAUUAUUGGGCGUAAAGAGCUUGUAGGCGGUUUGUCGCGUCUGCAGUGAAAAUCCGAGGCUCAACCUCGGACUUGCUGUGGGUACGGGCAGACUAGAGUAUGGUAGGGGAGACCGGAAUUCCUGGUGUAGCGGUGGAAUGCGCAGAUAUCAGGAGGAACACCGAUGGCGAAGGCAGGUCUCUGGGCCAUAACUGACGCUGAGAAGCGAAAGCAUGGGGAGCGAACAGGAUUAGAUACCCUGGUAGUCCAUGCCGUAA
This 720-nucleotide ribosomal RNA is filed under the name uncultured bacterium. Its description in RNAcentral is "bacterial SSU rRNA". It matches the Rfam family "Bacterial small subunit ribosomal RNA", at positions 72 to 805 of the family's 1533-position model. The record is from RNAcentral.